ACCUGAUUGGUGAUGCUUUUUUGG
RNAcentral lists this microRNA (24 nucleotides) under Vitis vinifera (wine grape). Its description in RNAcentral is "vvi-miR3640-5p". The record is from miRBase by way of RNAcentral. Lineage: Eukaryota; Viridiplantae; Streptophyta; Magnoliopsida; Vitales; Vitaceae.